This is a non-coding RNA of Podarcis lilfordi (Lilford's wall lizard), 14025 nucleotides long. The record is from the annotation of a GenBank genome assembly. NCBI's taxonomy places the organism in Eukaryota, Metazoa, Chordata, Lepidosauria, Squamata, Lacertidae.
UGGGACCAGUGGCCAUGGUUUUAGACCACAAUUCCCAACCUACAACACCAUCAGUGAGACGGCAACUCAUUCAUCCAGGUAUGUAUUUUAGGGCACUGUUUUGUGAAGUAUUCUCUGCGUUUCCCCCAUGCUUUUUGAAACUCUUGUCUAGUGUGAUCUCUAAUUGCCUCUGUUAAUCUAGCCAGUUCAAUAUACUCUAACAGUUUUUCUUGCGAUUCCUUUUUUGUUGGCACAGUUUCUUUUUUCCAGUUUUUAGCAAUUAGAAUCCUUGCCGCUCCUGUGGCAUAGAGGAAUAUUUUCUGAUCUUCUCUUGCUAUACCUGUGUCCGUUAUCCCUAGUAGAAAAGUUUCUGUAUUUUUCAUAAAGUUAAACUUAAACAUUUUUUUAAACUCGUCAUAUACUAUGUUCCAGAAGCUUUUGGCCAGUCCUAUGGCUUGCAGCCAGCAAGCCAAAAUACCCAGUUUAAACAUAACACUCUCAUAUCAAGAGGUCGACAUGACCCAACGUUUUAGCUCCUCUGGCCAGUUUUAUCUUUUAAAAUAAGGACAAUUGGAACACUUUAAAUAAAAGAUGUUUCUUAGCAACAGGACCAGGCCUGGUCACCUUUGGUUAGGUGGCAAAUGAACUUCAAUAUGCCAUCUCUUACUUGCAUUUAUAUUCUAAACUGAAAAGUCCCCUAACACUGCAAUGUUUCCUCAUGGCAGCUGUGAGGGUGGGGGGUCAGAGGGAGGAAGGAAAUCUGCCUGAUUACAAAAGUCAAUUCAAAUUCCAUGCUAGGGAUUAUUAGGAAGGGAUCUGAAUCUCUAAUGUGGAAUUUCAUCCAGCUGGACCAUAAAGAAGGCUGAUCGCUGAAGAAUUGAUGCUUUUGAAUUAUGGUGCUGGAGGAGACUCUUGAGAGUCCCAUGGACUGCAAGAAGAUCAAACCUCUCCAUUCUGAAGGAAAUCAGCCCUGAGUGCUCACUGGAAGGACAGAUCCUGAAGCUGAGGCUCCAAGACUUUGGCCACCUCAUGAGAAGAGAAGACUCCCUGGAAAAGAGCCUGAUGUUGGGAAAGAUUGAGGGCACAAGGAGAAGGGGAUGACAGAGGACGAGAAGGUUGGACAGUGUUCUCGAAGCUACCAGCAUGAGUUUGGCCAAACUGCGGGAGGCAGUGGAAGACAGGAGUGCCAUGGAGCAACCAUGCUUGGAAAACUGUGGGCAGUCCGGGUCACUGCUCCCCCCCACCCCCCCAAAAAAAGUUAGAGGAAAACUGGUAGACAAGUUAAAUUGAAAUGAUCAAGGGCUUCAGCAAAUUGCCUAUGAGGAAAGGUUGCAACAUUUGGAGCUUUUUAGGUAAGAAAAAGUUGAGUGAGAGAAGCAUGACAGAGGUGUACAGAAUCAUAGAACCAUAGAAUUGUAGAGUUGGGACCUGAGGGUCAUCUAGUCCAACCCCCUGCAACGCAGGAAUUUUUUGCCCAAUGUGGCCAAAACCCUGCUCUGCUCAGUGGAUAGAGAAAAGCUUUUCCUCCAUCUCUAAAAACACCAGAAUUUUGCAGGCAUCUAGUGAAGCUGAAAGUUGGAAGAUUUGGGACAGGAUAAAAGCAAGUUUACACAGAGCAAAGUUAAACUAUGGAACUCACUGCUGCAGGGGCCAGGGAUGCCCACCAAUUUGGGUGACUUUAAAAGAGGACUGGACAAAUUCCACGGAGGAGGAGCGGGCUAUCGGCAGCUAUAAGCCAGGGUGGCUACGCCGUGCCUCCGCUGUUGCUGGAAACCACAGGAGGGGAGGAAGCGCCCUGAGUUCAAAUCCUGAUGGUUGGGUUUCCUACUGGCAUCUGGUUAGCUACUCUGAGAACAAAAUUGCUGGGCUGGAUGGGCCACUGGCCUGAUCCAGCGGGCUCUUCUUACGAUAAUGAACACGCUCACAGAAGCUUACCCUUUUCUCCUUUGGGUAAGGGGAACAGAAGUCGGUGCAGCCCCAAAGUGUAAGGCAUCCCCCAAAUUCUCUGAUCGCCCUUCAGGAAUUCCUGGCAUAGAAGCCGUCCUAUUGGCUCAAGAGGGCAUUCUUUGCGAUGGCAUGUGCCUGGGGAUAACGGCUUUUUUCUGCUGGCGUGUUGACGUGUGGGGGGCAAUACAAGCCCCAUGACAUCACCCCACCCCUUCUGAAACAAGCGCUAUCAGCGAUCCCGAGAGCAGAGCUGAGUUUGGCCACCUCCUCCCUCCCUCCCUCCGGAAAGGGUGCCGAUAUUUUACUUCUAAGGUUUUUCGCCUGACCUUUCGCCAUAGAGUCCCAGGGAAAGUGACCACAAUUUGCUAUGGGGGUGGGGGUAGAUCAGUUAGUAGAGCAUGAGACUCUUAAUCCCAGGGUCGUAGGUUUGAGCCCCACAUUGGGUGAAAGAUGCCUGCAUUGCAGGGGGUUGGACUAGAUGACCCCCCGGUGUCCCCGCUGAUGCUUUUUAAAGCCCUAAGUGUAAGCAUCUUGAAUUGGGCCCUAAAACAAUUUGGCAACUGGUGUGUAUCUUGGGAAUAUUGUUGUCUCCUGUUCUGUUGCUGUUUGGGGUUUUUUGCUAGGGUUGGGAUGGGGGACAGAGAAGUCAUCUCUCGGGUCUUUUGUAAUAGGCUUCAGAUCUCCUUCCCCCUGAUUUCGGAAAACGUCUUUUAAAAUUGAACCCAGGACCUUCUGUAUUGAAGUUCAGUGCUCUACCAUGAACCACUAAUAAUAAUAAUAAUAAUAAUAAUAAUAAUAAUAAUAAUAAUGCAGUGGUACCUCGGGUUAAGUGCUUAAUUUGUUCUCGAGGUCCAUUCUUAACCUGAAACUGUUCUGAACCUGAAGCACCACUUUAGCUAAUGGGGCCUCCCGCUGCGCCGCCAGAGCACGAUUUCUGUUCUCAUCCUAAAGCAAAGUUCUUAACCCGAGGGACUAUUUCUGGGUUAGCGGAGUCUGUAACCUGAAGCAUAUGAAACCUGAAGUGUAUGUAACCCGAGGUACCACUGUAAUAAUAUAUUAUUUAUACCCUGCCCAUCUGGCUGGGUUUCCCCAGCUACUCUGGGAGGCUUCCAACAAAGUACAGUGGUACCUCAGGUUACAGAUGCUUCAAGUUACAGAUGCUUCAGGUUACAGACUCCGCUAACCCAGAUAUAGUACCUUGGGUUAAGAACUUUGCUUCAGGAUAAGAACAGAAAUCGCGCAGUGGCAGCGGGAGGCCCCAUUAGCUAAAGUGGUACCUCAGGUUAUGAACAGUUUCAGGUUAAGAAAGGACCUCCGGAACGAAUUAAGUUCUUAACCCGAGGUACCACUGUAUUAAAAUACUGUGGUCAUUCCCUAAAAAGAAAACAAGCUUGCUGUCCCCAUGGUAUCUUGUUGGGCUCAAACCUGCCUUUUACUGAGUUGGACCAAUUGGUCCACCUCGCUCAAUACUGCCUACGCUGCUGGCAGGCAGCAUCUCUCCCUGGUUUCAGGCAGGCUAUCUCCCAGCCCUACCUGGGGAUCGAGCCAGGGACCCUUCUGCAUGCCAAGCAGAUGCUCCAGCACUGAGCUACAUCUCGUCCCGGUGAUUCACGUCACAUUCCUUAAGAAGAAGUCAAGUUUGCAGUCCUCAUGGUCUGAAUAAAGUGAACAGGAGGGUGCCACUUCACAGCCCGCAGGUAUUGGUGGGGAUUGAACCGGAGGCCUUCUGCAUGCCAAGCAGGUGUUCUGCCGCUGAGCCACAGCCCUUCCCUGCUGGCCCACUGCCCUGGUCGAAAGGCGUCCUUCAUUAUCUCGCUGCUGUUCCGUUAUCGGACUGAACUAAGAGGUCGGGCUGCUGACAUAUCAACCUCACACCCAACGCCUUGUGCGCCGCCUGCCCCGACACAGUGGCUUGACCAGAAUCCAGCACUCCUGGCUUCCACCUCCCCCCCCGACCUCUCCUCUUCUCAUCAAACAGCCCUCAUUGGCUAGAUAGGGUAGGUGACAUCACCGGUGCUGGCCAUGCAAGCCCUUCCAGGGACACAUUCCCAAGUCGAGGGUCUCUUUCCAAAACAUUGGGGUAGGGGGGUUGUCUCCAAAGCCAGCCUCUAAUUUUAGACUCCCUUCUGCAGAAAACAAACUGACACCCUCUCGAAAUAGCGUGUGAUCUGCCCAUAUCUCCCCAACCAAUAGGAGCCAGAGAUGGGCCCGCUCCCCAUCCUCGCUGCUGCUGCCGGGGUCACGGGGAGCAAGUUGCUAAAAACGGAGGUGACUUAUGGGUGCGCUCGUGGUUUAUUUAUAUUCCAGCUCAGUGAAAGCAGUCCGGGGGUGUGUGUACUGGGGAGAAUUCCAAGGGCCAGAUAGAAAGGCCCGAGGGCCACAUCUAACUCCCAGGUUUGAGGUUCCCCAUCCCUGCUGCAGCCUGUGACUCUAAACUGGACCAUCGCUUGCCGUUACUGCCCCUCGCUAUCUCCAUCACAAUUCUUUUAAUGCUCAGAUGGGGGAUCCUCUGGAUAUUGAUGGAGUCCAGCUCCCAUCAUCCCGCUCACCACUGGCCAUGUAAGCUGCAGUUGAUGGGAAUUGGAGUCCAACAGUCUCUGGAGGGCCAAAGUCUCCCCAUCCAGGAACUAGCCCAUCACUUGCCUUUACUGCCACCAGCUCCCUCCAUCACCAGUCUGGCCAUCGCUUGCCUUUACUGCCCCUAGUGAUCUCCAUUGCCACUCUAGGCAUCACUUGCCUUUACUGCCACCAGUGAUCUCCAUUGCCACUCUAGGCAUCACUUGCCUUUACUGCCACCAGCUCCCUCCAUCGCCACUCUGGUUAUGGCUUGCCUUUACUGCCCCUAGUGAUCUCCAUUGCCACUCUAGGCAUCACUUGCCUUUACUGCCACCAGCUCCCUCCAUCGCCACUCUGGCCAUCGCUUGCCUUUACUGCCCCUAGUGAUCUCCAUUGCCACUCUAGGCAUCACUUGCCUUUACUGCCACCAGCUCCCUCCAUCGCCACUCUGGCCAUCGCUUGCCUUUACUGCCCCUAGUGAUCUCCAUUGCCACUCUAGGCAUCACUUGCCUUUACUGCCACCAGCUCCCUCCAUCACCAUUCUGACUAUCGCUUGCCUUUACUGCCCCUUGCAACUUCCAUCACAACUUUUAAUGUAGGAAUGGGGGGAACCUGUGAUGUUUCUAGACUACAGCUCCCCCCAUCCCUGACCAUUGGGCUGUGCUGGCUGGGGUUGAUGGGAGAUGGAGUCUGGCGGCAACCGGAGGGGACCCCUGUUUACCCACCCCAGCUAACAGAACCCGGGAGAAGAUCACGGUGGGUAUGGCUUGAAUUCUCCAAGAUCAGAAUUUGUGCCCCUUCCUUCUUUCUUUCUUUCUUUCUUUCUUUCUUUCUUUCUUUCUUUCUUUCUUUCUUUCUUUCCUGCCUUCCUUCCUUCCUUUUCCCACCCACUCCACAUCCUGCUGAAACUCUCAAAAGGUGCUUUUAAUUAGCCAGCUUUUGUGGACACUUGGUUUUGAAAAGCGUGACCCCCCCCUUCCGUUUUGCUCACCUCAUUAAAACACAGCACAAAUAUCCCCUUGGGACAUGGUGUUGUCUGGAGACCCUUUGGAUCCAGAAAGCACCACCGCCCCGCUGCCUUUGCUUCCCCCAGCUCCGAGCCCCUUUCCCCAAAUACUGGGGUAAUUAGCCCAGCCUUUAGUUUCUGGAGUUCGGCUGAAUCAGCUAAUGGGCUGCCUACUGCUCCAGCGCACCAGAGUUUGGAGCACAAAUAGAAGCAGGCAAAUAGGACCUCCAAGACCCAGCUGGGCCACAGACGUCAGAUGUUGUUUGAGGCUCCUUUGCAAAGAUGGGCUUAAUGGCGUCUGCGGAACAGGGAUGGCCGACGUGGUACUGCCAAACUCAAAGCAGCCAAGAUGGCCAGUGCUUGAGAGUUGUGCUCCAGCAAACGUCUGCAUUGGAAAAGUUGUGAAGGAGGUAGUGAGGGUCAGCAAAGGCAAGUGACGGUCUGGUUUGGGGAGGGGGAACCUGGUGCCCUCCCAGUUAGAUUCCAAUUUCUAGCAGCCCCAGAUGGCACAGCUGGUGGUUCCUGUUCUGACAUUGAAGGUAGGCUGGGACAGUAAUGGCAAGUGAUGGCAAGUGAUGGCAGCAAUGGGAAACCCGUGAUAUUCUUCUUCUUUAUUUGACAAAUAAUAAUAAUAAUAAUAAUAAUAAUAAUAAUAAUUUAUUAUUUGUACCUUGCCCAUCUGGCUGGGUUUCCCCAGUCACUCUGGGCGGCUUCCAACAAAGACCAAAAAUACACUAAAAUGUCACACAUUAAAAACUUCCCUGAACAGGGCUGCCUUCAGUUUUCUUCUGAAUGUCAGGUAGUUGUUUUUCUCUUUGACAUCUGGUGGGAGGGCGUUCCACAGGGCGGGCACCACUACCGAAAAGGCCCUCUGCCUGGUCCCCUGUAACUUGGCUUCUCGCAAUGAGGGAACCGCCAGAAGGCCCUCAGCGCUGGACCUCAGCGUUCGGGCAGAACAAUGGGGGUGGAGACGCUCCUUCAGGUAUACUGGGCCGAGGCCGUUUAGGGCUUUAAAGGUCAACACCAACACUUAAUAAUCAUACAUAAAUAAGAUACAUAAAUUAACCGUACAUAAAUUAUUACAAAGUAAUAAUGAAGGUUUUGUUGGCGUAGUAUGUAAUGAAUUUUAAUAUUUUUUAACUAUUGUUGUGUUAAUGUUUGUGUACAGGCAUGGUCCUCACAAUAAACGGAUUUGAUUGAUUGAUUGAACAAAGUAAUAAUCAUACAUAAAUAAGAAUAAAAAUGUGCACCCCACCCCUGAGACCAUUCCAUUGCAACUAUCCAACCUCCCAAAAUUUCAACGCCUCUUGCGAUGGUUUGACCCCUUUCCAUUUUAACAGCACAAAUUUGACAAACACCUUCCACAUCUCCUCAAAAUCAUUUCUCCUGCAUAUUCCCAGUCUUACCUUAAUGGCACAUGUCAAUUUAUCAUUCAUAGUUAUAUCCCACACACCUCUUUAUACCACCCUUCCAUUUUAUAUUCCGCUUGCCCCUUCCACUUCCUGGCUAUCAUAAUUCUUGCAGCUGUCAAUAACUUUGUGAGUAAGUCCUUCAUAGCCUGCCUAUGAUAUUCUAGGCAUAUUUGGAAUCCAACUCCCAUAAGCCUCAGCAGCCUGCAGGGCCAAUGGUCAAUGGUGAUGGUGAUGGGAGUUAUAGUUUGGCAAGGACCAUGCGUUUCUUACCCUUGCUUUAGAAAAGGGUGGUUCAAUGUGUGGCCUGAGGGCUGCAUGUGGCCCUUGAGGCUUUUUUUUUUUUUUUUGGCCCUGGGCAACAUUUGACACUCCCCCCCACCCCACCCCACCCCAGCCCUUGCUCUGCCUUCCUAGAGCUCCGUAAGUGAGACACUGGGCUUUGUGAAGGAGAUGUGAGGACAGCCUAGUGCAGGGGUCAGCAAACCUUUUCAGCCGUGGGCCGGUCCAUUGUCCCUCAGACCUUGUGGGGGGCCAGACUAUAUUUUUUGGGGGGAAGGAGAAUGAAUUCCUAUGCCCCACAAAUAACCCAGAGAUGCAUUUAAAUAAAAGGACACAUUCUACUUGUUAUGUACUGAGUUGAAUAGGAUUCAGAAUGCAGCAGUCUGAUUGGUCCUAGAACAAUAGGAUACAGAAUGCAGCAGUCUGAUUGGUCCUAGAACAAUAGGAUCCAGAAUGCAGCAGUCUGGUCCUAGAAUAGGAUCCAAAAUGCAGCAGUCUGAUUGGUCCACAGGAGCCACCCAAUCCAGCUCCAGGUGGAAGUGAAUCCACAACCUGAUUGACCUACAGGAGAAUCCCGGAAUUAGCCAAUCACAUGGGGCCCAUUGUGUAAAUAAUGUAUAUAAAGCAGACAUUCUGGGGGAACUUCCAUUCCUCCUCACCACUAUGAGCUGAAUAAAGAGCAUGAAAUCAGCUCUCAACUCCGAGUAUAUUUCACUAAUCAUGUAAAAACAUGCUGAUUCCCGGACUAUCCGCGGCCGGAUUGAGAAGGCAACUGGGCCGCAUCCGGCCCCCGGGCCUUGGUUUGCCUACCCCUGGCCUAGUGCCUCCAUUGGGCAGCUUUGGGAAGGCAGUGCAAGGGCGGGGGAGGUGGUAAAUCAAAAUUUGGGCUCACUUCCCAACACAGUAUUCUGUGUCGAAGUACUCUUACAGCUCUCUUGGUAUGAAAAAUUGGACCGCCCUGCUUUAGAAGAAGACAGAGUCAUGAUCGAGAUAACUAAGGGCAGUGAAGGCAAGUGAUGGUCUCGUUCAGGGAGGGAAAACCUCUGGUCCUCUUGGACAGGGUCCAACUUGCAUUGUUGCCAGCCAGCAGGGUCAGAGAUGAAGGGAGAUGGAGUCCAGCAGUAUCAUGGGGUCAUUGCUUUGGGGCUUCCCAGAAGAAGCAUCUGGGUUGACUUCUGUGAGAGCAGGAUGUUACCAUGGUUCUCUUUAUAUGUAUGUAUGUGUGUGUGUGAAUUUUCUGUUUUACAAUUUAAAAUACUCAUUUGUUGUUGUUGUUUAGUUGUUUAGUCAUGUCCGACUCUUCGUGACCCCCAUGGACCAGAGCACGCCAGGCACUCCUGUCUUCCCCUGCCUCUCGCAGUUUGGUCAAACUUAUGCUGGUAGCUUCGAGAACACUGUCCAACCAUCUUGUCCCCUGUCGUCCCCUUCUCCUUGUGCCCUCCAUCUUUCCCAACUUCAGGGUCUUUUCCAGGGAGUCUUCUCUUCUCAUGAGGUGGCCAAGUAUUGGAGCCUCAGCUUCAGGAUCUGUCCUUCCAGUGAGCACUCAGGGCUGAUUUCCUGAAGAAUGGAGAGGUUUGAUCUUCUUGCAGUCCAUGGGACUCUCAAGAGUCUCCUCCAGCACCAUAUUUCAAAAGCAUCAAUUCUUUGUCGAUCAUAUCAAUACUUCCCUUCUUCUCUUUCCAUGACUCAUUUUGCACAACAUAAAUCCCUGCAUAUUUCACAUAAACAAAUCCAUUCAGUAUGCCAUUAUUACAUCCGUCAAAACUUAUUUACAUUGUUGAAUUUAUCUUAGUGCUGCCAACGUUUUAAGUGUACACAGUCUCCCCCCAUAUAUUCAAUAAACAGUUUCCAAUCUUCUCUAAACGUAUGUUCUUCUUGUUCUCUUAUCCUAGCUGUUAGGUCCGCAAGCUGCGCAUAUUCCGUCAACUUAAGUUGCCAUUCUUCUUAGGUCGGGAACUCACUCGUUUUCCAUUUUUGGGCUAACAGAACACGGGCCACAGUAGUGGCAUACAUAAAUAACCGUUUUUGACACCUGGGAAUUUCCUUCUUAAUUAUCCCCAAAACUUGCUAAAAUGUAUAGAAAUCAAGAUAAAGACUGUUGGAAAUGUAAGGAGAAGGAGGGGAAUUUCCUUCACAUGUGGUGGACUUGUACCAAGGUGAAAGCCUUCUGGGAAAUAAUAUACAAUUAAUUAAAAAAUGUUUUUAAAUAUAAUUUCAAUAAAAUACCAGAGACAUUUUUGUUAGGUUUAAUUGGAGAGGAAAUUCCAAAAAAAGAUGUAAAUUUGUUUAUGCACAGCGGCUGCAAGGAUACUUCUGGCUCAGAAAUGGAAGCAGCAGGAACUUCCAACAUUGGAAGAAUGGCAGAUCAAGAUGGUGGAAUACGUAGAGUUGGCAAAGUUGACGGGGAAGAUCUGGAAUCAACGCGAUGAACUGUUUCAAAAGGACUGGAGCAAAUUUAUAUUUUAUAUGAAAGAGCAUUGUAAACAUCUGAAAACGUUUGUAGGCUUGAGCUGAAACGUUUUGUAAUGUGAAUAUAAGGAAUGGAUUUACAUAUAAUGAGGUGAAAUAUUAAAAGAAGAUAGAAGGUAAAAAAGUGGCUAUAGAAAUGCUAAGAAUUUAGUAAAGAUGUCUGGAAGUCAGAAAGAGGGAGGGAAGGAAGUCGAUGCUCAAUUUGAGCAAUGUUUUAAGUUAUAGAAUUAUGUAACAGAAUGUGAUUAUGAUAAAUAUGGAAAACACAAUUUUUUAUUUUUUUAAAAAAAGAAUUAUCCCCAACGAAAAGGACUCUGGUUUUGUGUUGCUGUUUUUUUUGAAAAAUACUUUUAAACAUUUUUUUCAAUUCAUUAUGGAUUAUUUCCUGAAACUCUUUUAUCCUUUUUCAGGUCCAACUAGUGUGGUUCUUCAUUUGGGCAGGAGGCUUCCUCCACUGUCUUUUUAACCUCCCGGUCUUCUGCUCCGUCUGAUGGGAAUGGCACACUGGGCGUUGCCAAACCCACAUGGGUGUGGAGCAAGUUUUCCUUGGCAUCAUCUGACAUGCAGAAGUGGUGACACGCUCCCCCCCUUCUGUGCUCAGCUCCCCCCCCCCCAGCCUUUGCUGCUUUCGGACCUUUAUUGGGCCUGAUAAAGGGAGGUGUUUGUGUGGAAAAAAAGGAUGCCUGGGAGUUUAGCUAAUGAGAAGGAGGGAAAGGAGCCCACAGACCAGAAUCUCUCUGCUGCAGGCAAAGCAGGGAAACAACUAUGGAAAGCAAACUUCCGAUGAACCUUGCAUUGUAUAAAUAUAAGUUUGUAGGGAAGUUAACAGAAACGAUAUAAGAAAUAUGUAAUUGUGCGGUAUAAGAUAAUCCACAGAUAGAGUACAGCGAGACUAAUUGGAAGUCGUUUUUAAUUUCUAGUUUUACAAUCGUUCACAUCAUUGGGAGGACAAAGGAUGUUAGUUAGAAGAAUUGUGUGUUUCAUAUAUUGCUAAAGAUAAAGGUAAAGGGACCCCUGACCAUUAGGUCCAGUCAUGACAGACUCUGGGGUUGCAGCGCUCAUCUCGCUUUAUCGGCCAAGGGAGCCAGCAUACAGCUUCCGGGUCAUGUGGCCAGCAGGACUAAGCCGCUUCUGGCGAACCAGAGCAGCACACGGAAACGCCGUUUACCUUCCCGCUGGAGCGGUACCUAUUUAUCUACUUGCACUUUGAUAUGCUUUCGAACUGCUAGGUUGGCAGGAGCAGGGACCGAGCAACGGGAGCUCACCCUGUUGCGGGGAUUCGAACCGCUGACCUUCUGAUCUGCAAGUCCUAGGCUCUGUGGCUUAACCCACAGUGCCACUCGCGUCCCUUGAUAUAUUGCUACUGUCUGUCAAUUUAUAGUUUGUUUAUUUGAUUGUAUGUUUCUCUGCUGGUUGGUUUGCUUUCCUAGCAUAAAUGUACAAUCAUACCUCGGGUUGAAUUUGUGCUCUGCGGCAACCCAGAAGUAACAGAACGUGUUACUUCCGGGUUUCGCCGCUCGCGCAUGCGCAGACACUCAAAAUGACAUCACGCACAUGCGCAGAAGCGGCAAAACGUAACCCGUGGAUGCGCAGACGUGCCGUCGCGUCUUACAUUCUGUUCAGGAUGCAAACAGGGCUCCGGAACGGAUCCCGUUCGCAUCCCGAGGUACCACUGUAUCUAUUUUAAAACAAUAAAGAUAUACAUGUUGGAAAGCAAACUUCCGAAAUGAAAUUGGGCAUCUGGUCGAGUCUGGUUCAGAUUUGAGGGGGCAAAAUUACACUCCACAUCUCCACCCCCACCCAUGACUCCCCUGUGAGGAACGGAGUCAGCUUUUUGGUUUAGAGGGGCUUUUUGGUUUAGAAAAAAGGCAAGAUUGACAUGUUAGAAGUUUCAGUAUACCUGAAGGAGCGUCUCCACACCCAUCAUUCUGCCCAGACACUGAGGUCCAGCGCCGAGGGCCUUCUGGUGGUUCCCUCAUUGCGAGAAGCAAAGCUACAAGGAACCAGGCAGAGGGCCUUCUCGGUAGUGGCGCCCACCCUGUGGAACGCCCUCCCACCAGAUGUCAGAGAUAAACCACUACCUGACAUUCAGAAGACAUCUGAAGGCAGCCCUGUUUAGGGAAGUUUUUAAUGUGUGACAUUUUAGUGUAUUUUUGGUCUCUGUGGAAGCCACCCAGAGUGACUGGGGAAACCCAGCCAGAUGGGCGGGUACAAAUAAUAAAUAAUAAUAAUAAUAAUAAUAAUAAUAAUAAUAAUUAUAGUGUGCCGUGGAGAAGGCAGAGAGAGAAAAGUCUGGGCGUCCCAUAAAGCUGAACGUUGGAAGAUUGAGGACAAAUGAAACUGCUCCUUCAUGCGGCACAAAGUUAAACUGUGGAACUCCCUGCCACAGGAGACGGUAAUGGCCACCGUUCUGGAUGGCUUUAAAAGAGGACCAGGCAAAUGCAUAGAGGAUAAAACUCUUGAUGGCUACUAGCCAGGAUGACUAUGCCGUGCCCAUCACAGAUGGAGGCAGUGAUGCUUCUGAAUGCCAGUUUCUGGAAACCAAAGGAGGGGAGAGGGCUCUUGUGUUCGAAUCCUGCUUGCGGGUUUCCCUUUGGGGCAGCUGGGUGGCUGCUAUUAGAACAGGAGGCUGGCUUAGAAGGACCAGAAGGUUCUUCUUAUCGUCUUAUCCUAGGAUGGGUUUUGGCAAUUUAAAAAAGACUACAGUAUAUGAAAGGGAUGCAGGUGGCGCUGUGGGUUAAACCACAGAGCCUAGGACUUGCCGAUCUGAAGGUCGGCGGUUUGAAUCCCCACGAUGGGGUGAGCUCCCGUUGCUCGGUCCCUGCUCCUGCCAACCUAACAGCUCAAAAGCACGUCAAGUGCAAGUAGAUAAAUAGGUACCACUCCGGCGGGAAGGUAAACUGCGUUUCCGUGCGCUGCGCUGGUUCGCCAGAAGCGGCUUAGUCAUGCUGGCCACAUGACUUGGAAGCUGUAUGCCGGCUCCCUCAGCCAAUAAAGUGAGAUGAGCGCCACAACCCCGGAGUCGGUCACGACUGGACCUAAUGGUCAGGGGUCCCUUUACCUUAGCAUGUUUAACAAACUACAGUUCCCAGAAUUCCUUUGGGAGAAGUCCUGUGCUUUAAAUGCAUGGUGUGUAUUUAGUGUUGAGUUCUACGUUCUACUCUAUGGACCCCCUGAAAUGAACAAGCCUUGGUUAGUCAGGCCUGUUAACAUCAACGGGUCUACUCUGAGUAGGAGGAGUAGCAAGGGUUGCAACCCAAGGAAGACAAUUUUGAAUCAGAGAUGGAAAGAAGAUAAAAGUCCCGACCAGAGAAGAAUGGCAGAUUAAGUUGUUGGAUUAUGGCGAAACAGCAAAAAUGACCGGAAGAAUCAGAAAUCAGGAAGACUAAAAUGUCAAUAAGGAAUGGGGAAAUUUUUAAAAUUUAUCUUAAAAACCAUUGUAAACGGCUAAAAUUGUUAGUAGGAUUAGAAUAACACUUGCAGUUUAAUGGUGAAUUUUGGAUAUAAUGGAGAUAUCAAAGAUGUGAAUUAACAUAAAAGAUGCAGGAAGAGAUGACUAACAAUAGGACCCACAAAGGAGAGGGGAGAAUUCCAGAAGAGUCCUUAGAAUCUUUGUUUUUAUGUCAUAUGUUGGAUAUGUGUAAAACUGUAAUUUGAAAAACUGUAUAUGUAUAUCUCUCACAAUUUGGAAUCAGAAGGCUAAGAUGGGGUAUCAGGUGUCAAAGGUCAGGGUAAAGGAACACACUUUUAAUGUCAUAAUAUAUCUUCAAAACAUGAUGAAAGCCGUACAAGGAAGGUGCAAGACUUCUGAGGGGAAUCAAAUCUGUAUUUGCUAAAAUAUCCCUUGUGGAUAGGCCUUGGCUGCCACCUAGUGGUCAUUGUAUGUAAGCUCAGCUUUUGCUCACUGAUUUAACUCUCUUGCAGGAAAAAAAGACAACGCAGAGUCUUAUGACACAAUGAAGACUGACAAAUUUAUUGUUUUUUAGACAGAAAUCGGGACACAGAUUAAUUAGACGCAUGGCACUGCUUGAUCCUAACUGUUUGGGUCUAACCCUAGCCUGGGACAGCUUGGUCUGUAGAGCAUGAGACUUUAUCUUGGGGUCCUGGGUUCGAGUCCCAUGUUGGGUGGAAGAUUCCUGCAUUACAAGACACUGGACUAAAUGGACCUGAUCUUCUAAUGUUCUUAUAUACUGUCCAUAAAUAUCCACAUCAACAGUGACUUAGGAAUCUGCCUAGUGCUAACCGCAAGCGAAAAUGAAUGCUGGACACUAAAGCAUAGCAGUUUGAGAAAUGCGUCUUCAGAUUUUGGGUGCCAUAGGAAAAUCUGUUUUCCCAGUGUGUUAUGUACUGAGCUGAAUAGGAUCCAAAAUGCAGCAG